GAAUAGGGGAGCCGAAGGGAAACCGAGUCUUAACUGGGCGUUAAGUUGCAGGGUAUAGACCCGAAACCCGGUGAUCUAGCCAUGGGCAGGUUGAAGGUUGGGUAACACUAACUGGAGGACCGAACCGACUAAUGUUGAAAAAUUAGCGGAUGACUUGUGGCUGGGGGUGAAAGGCCAAUCAAACCGGGAGAUAGCUGGUUCUCCCCGAAAGCUAUUUAGGUAGCGCCUCGUGAAUUCAUCUCCGGGGGUAGAGCACUGUUUCGGCAAGGGGGUCAUCCCGACUUACCAACCCGAUGCAAACUGCGAAUACCGGAGAAUGUUAUCACGGGAGACACACGGCGGGUGCUAACGUCCGUCGUGAAGAGGGAAACAACCCAGACCGCCAGCUAAGGUCCCAAAGUCAUGGUUAAGUGGGAAACGAUGUGGGAAGGCCCAGACAGCCAGGAUGUUGGCUUAGAAGCAGCCAUCAUUUAAAGAAAGCGUAAUAGCUCACUGGUCGAGUCGGCCUGCGCGGAAGAUGUAACGGGGCUAAACCAUGCACCGAAGCUGCGGCAGCGACGCUUAUGCGUUGUUGGGUAGGGGAGCGUUCUGUAAGCCUGUGAAGGUGUGCUGUGAGGCAUGCUGGAGGUAUCAGAAGUGCGAAUGCUGACAUAAGUAACGAUAAAGCGGGUGAAAAGCCCGCUCGCCGGAAGACCAAGGGUUCCUGUCCAACGUUAAUCGGGGCAGGGUGAGUCGACCCCUAAGGCGAGGCCGAAAGGCGUAGUCGAUGGGAAACAGGUUAAUAUUCCUGUACUUGGUGUUACUGCGAAGGGGGGACGGAGAAGGCUAUGUUGGCCGGGCGACGGUUGUCCCGGUUUAAGCGUGUAGGCUGGUUUUCCAGGCAAAUCCGGAAAAUCAAGGCUGAGGCGUGAUGACGAGGCACUACGGUGCUGAAGCAACAAAUGCCCUGCUUCCAGGAAAAGCCUCUAAGCAUCAGGUAACAUCAAAUCGUACCCCAAACCGACACAGGUGGUCAGGUAGAGAAUACCAAGGCGCUUGAGAGAACUCGGGUGAAGGAACUAGGCAAAAUGGUGCCGUAACUUCGGGAGAAGG
RNAcentral lists this ribosomal RNA (1092 nucleotides) under Escherichia coli. RNAcentral describes it as "bacterial LSU rRNA". It matches the Rfam family "Bacterial large subunit ribosomal RNA", at positions 655 to 1746 of the family's 2925-position model. Lineage: Bacteria; Pseudomonadati; Pseudomonadota; Gammaproteobacteria; Enterobacterales; Enterobacteriaceae. The record is from RNAcentral.